AUGUGUUUUGGCUUGGCUGACUCUUAAUCAGCGGGUCGUAGGUUCGAGCCCUACAUCACCCACCA
Molecule: transfer RNA, 65 nt
Filed under: Rhizobium sp. CCGE 510
Lineage: Bacteria; Pseudomonadati; Pseudomonadota; Alphaproteobacteria; Hyphomicrobiales; Rhizobiaceae
Description: tRNA-Ser
Source: RNAcentral